RNAcentral lists this ribosomal RNA (314 nucleotides) under uncultured bacterium. Its description in RNAcentral is "bacterial SSU rRNA". It matches the Rfam family "Bacterial small subunit ribosomal RNA", at positions 28 to 334 of the family's 1533-position model. The record is from RNAcentral.
GACGAACGCUGGCGGCGCGCCUAACACAUGCAAGUCGAACGGAGUUAUUUGAAAGCUUGCUUUUGGAUAACUGAGUGGCGGACGGGUGAGUAACGCGUGAGUAACCUGCCUUAAAGAGGGGAUAACGUCUGGAAACGGACGCUAAUACCGCAUAACAUAUUGUUUUCGCAUGGAGAUGAUAUCAAAGGAGCAAUCCGCUUUAAGAUGGACUCGCGUCCAAUUAGCUAGUUGGUGAGGUAACGGCCCACCAAGGCGACGAUUGGUAGCCGGACUGAGAGGUUGAACGGCCACAUUGGGACUGAGACACGGCCCAG